Molecule: long non-coding RNA, 734 nt
Organism: Anneissia japonica
Lineage: Eukaryota; Metazoa; Echinodermata; Crinoidea; Comatulida; Comatulidae
Exons: 3
Source: RefSeq, a predicted model, not a curated record
ACCAGUCACUACCCGGUCCCCUCAUGGGGCGGACACAACACCAUGGUUGAAAAAAUGGCUCCUCUGCCGGGAAAUAGCACAUGACAAAAUGAGUGUUGGAUUAGAAAAAGAAUAAAUAAUUGUUUUUUUUAUACCACUCCAGGUGGCGUUUUACAUAUAAACAUUACUCAAUAGACUACGCAGGAGACUUUACAAUUAAUAACAAAUCUCAAGACAGACAGUGUAUAUUUAAAUUUUACCUCAUUGGAAAUGAGCUGGUCUCCGGCCUAAUGGGCGUUCCUGAUACUCAUUACGUGAUGUAGACAAAGAAGCCACAACUAUUAGGAAAGAAUAUCCGGACUCAAUCGUGAAAGGGCAACAGAACUUACCAAUUAUUCAUAGAUAGCCAAAAAUUGUGUCACUCAUAGAGCUUCCUGGCAGCUGGGUUUUCCGGGCAAGAAAUUCUGGAUAUAAAAUUAUGCAUAUGAAAUUAAUUAAAAUAUAGUGUAAAUUUUAUUUUUUUUAAUGUUUCCUCUGCAAUAAUCUCAAAAAUAUAUGUUAGCAAUAUGUAGUAAUUCUUGUAGGCUUUAUGUUUAUUAAUAUUGUAUUAUUACUGAUAAUGUUUAUCUUAGUAAUAGAGAAAGCAACCCGUUUGUUGUAAAGAACAUAGGCAUGUAAGAUAAUAAUAUAACAUUUUGAGGAUUAAAAAUCAGAUUUAUUGAUUUUUGCCGGAUGUACAUAAUAUUGGCCUACAG